GAUGAACGCUGGCGGCGUGCCUAAUACAUGCAAGUCGAGCGAACAGAUGAGGAGCUUGCUCCUCUGACGUUAGCGGCGGAAGGGUGAGUAACACGGGGAUAACCUACCUAUAAGACUGGGAUAACUUCGGGAAACCGGAGCUAAUACCGGAUAAUAUAUUGAACCGCAUGGUUCAAUAGUGAAAGACGGUUUUGCUGUCACUUAUAGAUGGAUCCGCGCCGCAUUAGCUAGUUGGUAAGGUAACGGCUUACCAAGGCAACGAUGCGUAGCCGACCUGAGAGGGGGAUCGGCCACACUGGAACUGAGACACGGUCCAGACUCCUACGGGAGGCAGCAGCAGGGAAUCUUCCGCAAUGGGCGAAAGCCUGACGGAGCAACGCCGCGUGAGUGAUGAAGGUCUUCGGAUCGUAAAACUCUGUUAUUAGGGAAGAACAAAUGUGUAAGUAACUAUGCACGUCUUGACGGUACCUAAUCAGAAAGCCACGGCUAACUACGUG
Molecule: ribosomal RNA, 497 nt
Filed under: uncultured bacterium
Lineage: Bacteria
Description: partial 16S ribosomal RNA
Rfam family: Bacterial small subunit ribosomal RNA
Source: RNAcentral